GACGAACGCUGGCGGCGUGCCUAAUACAUGCAAGUCGAGCGGACGAAUCGAAAGCUUGCUUUUGAUUCGUUAGCGGCGGACGGGUGAGUAACACGUGGGCAACCUGCCCUGUAGACGGGGAUAACACCGAGAAAUCGGUGCUAAUACCGGAUAACACGAAAUGUCGCAUGACGUUUCGUUGAAAGACGGCGCAAGCUGUCGCUACAGGAUGGGCCCGCGGCGCAUUAGCUAGUUGGUGAGGUAACGGCUCACCAAGGCGACGAUGCGUAGCCGACCUGAGAGGGUGAUCGGCCACACCGGGACUGAGACACGGCCCAGACUCCUACGGGAGGCAGCAGUAGGGAAUCUUCCGCAAUGGACGAAAGUCUGACGGAGCAACGCCGCGUGAGCGAAGAAGGCCUUCGGGUCGUAAAGCUCUGUUGUUAGGGAAGAACAAGUAACGCAGUAACUGGCGUUACCGUGACGGUACCUAACGAGAAAGCCACGGCUAACUACGU
This 497-nucleotide ribosomal RNA is filed under the name uncultured bacterium. RNAcentral describes it as "partial 16S ribosomal RNA". It matches the Rfam family "Bacterial small subunit ribosomal RNA", at positions 28 to 506 of the family's 1533-position model. The record is from RNAcentral.